This is a non-coding RNA of Cherax quadricarinatus, 701 nucleotides long. The record is from RefSeq and is a predicted model, not a curated record. NCBI's taxonomy places the organism in Eukaryota, Metazoa, Arthropoda, Malacostraca, Decapoda, Parastacidae.
CCCAAUCUAACUUUAUUAUUUUUUUAAAUACACUACCUAACAGAAUACUCCAUUCGACUGAAUGUACAGCAAUGCAAGCAACCAUAUGACCUGUCUUUGUAAUACUCAUUUGUACUUUAUAGUUAUCUGUUUACAAUAAUGUUUUAUCACUGAUUUCAUCAUUGCUUAGUUAAUCUUAAGUUAAUUUUAAGCCAGCCCGUAAUGCUAUGCAUAUAAGUGGCUUUGGCAUGCUGCUCUUACCUAUAAAUAAGUUGGGAGCUGUUCGAAACUCGAGGUACCACUGUACUGUGACGAGUCGUAAAAUCAACUUCUAUCUUACUGAGAGAAAAUAUUUUCCCAAAAAGGGAACUUAAAUUUUUUGUUUUAUUGACAAAAAAAAUUAUAAACUAAAUUACUGGGUAAUAACUUAAAACAAUAUACUUUUAAAUUUUCGUGCCACUAUACCAGUGUAGUAAUAACCUUUUUUUUCUCUCUCUCUUUUUCUUAGGUGAAUGUCACGAGUCUAACUUCUAACUCAAAGCUGCUGAAAAUGGAUUUCCAUUUAAAAAGUGAUGGCAGUCUUCACGUAGCCUUACAAGAGCCAGAAGCAAAAAUUAAUCGUGCUUUCAUCAUUGAGGCUGGAAGAAGUUGAGGCUAAUUAAAUUUAGCUGAGUAAAACCAAUUUUCUUCCUAGUUACCUAAUAAAUACUUUUGUUAUUGAA